RNAcentral lists this long non-coding RNA (2473 nucleotides) under Setaria italica (foxtail millet). Its description in RNAcentral is "long non-coding RNA (SITA_LNC002836)". Lineage: Eukaryota; Viridiplantae; Streptophyta; Magnoliopsida; Poales; Poaceae. The record is from RNAcentral.
UAUCCUUAAGUGAGUUGUUCUUCUGCGGAUAGGCUCUUGUUAUAUCACUUAAUCUAGUUGGAAUUUGACAGCACUAGCUUUCCCUUUUUCUCUAACAGUGUUUGCUCAGCAAGUUUUGUUUCUACUGACAUUUAUAGCACCCACCGGUACUUCUUUGGGGCUUGCCUAAUUCGUUUUUAGUGGAAUGGAUUCAUUUUGUUUCUGCUAAUGUUUACAUUUUACUUCGCUGAGGCUGAACCACUACUUUCAAGUAGUGGCCGAAAUUGCUACUGAGAAGAAACUCUCUAUGAAACAAUUGUGUAAACCAAGUUGUUGUGGCCAACAAUAUAUUCUUGAUUUUUAAGAACUGUUUUGGUUCCAUGGACCUUUGGCCAAGAUGGUUCUCUUUGGUGUUGAGGAAUGGGAGACUGACUGCCAAAAAUAGAUGGCAAGAACUAAUUCGUUGUUCUUGCGUUUUCCACAGAAUAUGCCCCUUUUAUAUGGGUUAUCUUGACUUGGCCCCCUAAAAUUAUCUGAUUAUGUAAAUCUGAGACUGGCAUAUAGAGAGAGCAUUAUCUCUUCUGGAAAUAAAUCCACGAAAAAGGAAACAAAAUAUCCUUUAACCAAAGCUUGUUUAUUAGCAUUUUGAUGAAUCCUGUGAUUUUCUAGCCUGUGCAUGAUGGAUAUGCAUAUCACUAUUUAUAAGGCUUUCCUUACUAUAUGUCAUAUUAUGCAUUCUGGUUUUACGGCAGCUCACAUGAUGUGUGGAAGUCUGGAAGAUCCUGUUGAUGUGUUUUCCAAGCAGGAUCACAAAAGCCGCUGUAACCACCGGUGCCCUCCGUUUUGACAUGCAUUUGAAACUCCAUACCUCAGGUCAGCUCCUUGUUUACUGUAUGAUUGAAGUGUGGUUGCUGUCUAAGUUUCAAGUUAGUAAUAUUUUCUCAAACAGGCAAACGGUACGCCUCUUUUUUUGUUCUGCUAGUUUGCACGAUACGUUCUAGGCUAGUGUUUUGUUCUACUUGAACAUUUUUUUACUGAAAUCAUAGCAUUUUCCUUCUAGAAACAAUUUAUCAUAAACAUGGAACAUUUUUCUCUUGAAUAUAUAACAUAUGUUCCCGAUUCAUUAAGAAAAUAUUCCACAUAUAUAAAAUAAAAUCUUGAGAAAAUUUCAUCGAAAGCAUAGUGAAGCUUGGUUUUUAUUUCAAAGAUCUUAUCAAAGAACACGAUGGUUCGUUCAAAUUCAAUUUGGUUGUCCGGUAUAAAAAUUAUUGAUUUUUUUUGUUUGAAUUCGUGCCAUCGCUUUUUAUUUGCACAUGCGUAGUAGCAUGAGGGACGCGGGGGUUGGUCGUUGGGUGUAUCGUGUAUUGGACCCCUAACGUAACCUAAUCUUUUUCCGCGUCAUUUAUGUCAAGAAAAUCUGGUACGAAGUAGUAUGAACGAACGAUCCAUGCGACAAACCUCGCCUUUUAGCCAACCAUGCUGUAGUUUAGUGCUGGGGCAGCUGGUUAGUUGGAUCUGGUGACAUUCAGGAUCGGAUGAGAUCCACCUUUGUACAUCACCGAUACUUCAAUUUACUCCCUACGCUUGGUAUGAAUCUUGGAGCUCUCGCUCGCAUCGAUCGGUGGCACGUUAGCGGGCUCGCCGGAAACAACGGCAAGGCGGCCGGCUAGGUGGUAGCAGCAAAGUUUCCCAAGGAGGCGCGCACGCUACUACUAGCUGGCAUGCCAGCGCGGCCGCCGCGCGCGCGUCAUCGGUGGCCGCCCGGGUGGUGGUCGACCGAUCGAGCGCGCGUGCAGCACGGCCGGGACAGCCGACAGCAGCACGGGUAGGCGGCGGCCACGGCCAGCCGGCCGGCCGGGCGGGCCGGGGCCCCUACAUGUCAAGGCAUUGGCGUAUACCCUGCAUCCGUGCAUGGACGGCAUGCGAAGUUGAUGAGCGUCGUAGUACGCGUACUUUGACGACCAGGGUGAGCAAGUAGAGCUAGGAUGCACGAGAACACAGUGUACUAAAGAUUUGACAUGCAUCAGCUAGGUUCGGCAAGCUCAAUGCUCAUGCACGGAGCAGGUCUUUCGCCCGAGCUGCUUUCAGCCAUCGAUCGGUCAGUAGUGGCGGAGACGCUGCAGAACUCCACAUGGAAAUGGAACAGUGCGUCAAUCAUCAGCGCUACCUAGCUAGAGCAUAAUGCACGGUUGACGCCCUCGGCUUUGCACGGCGCCAAGUCUGCUGGGACGUUGACAACACUUGUCAAAUCGCCAACUCAAUCAUAUCGCUACUAGGCCGCCGUGCAACGCUGGCUUCUUCGCUACUUCUGUGCUUCUGGCCCGCACUAUGCAGGGAGGUUUUGCGUGCUUUCUUUCCCUGGAUCUUAUUGGGCAGCAGCACCACUCGCAUCAGUUCAUUUUUCUAUUGGCGAUCUCGAUCGAUGCGUGAGCGUAACAGCUGACGUGCUCACGCCAAUAAUGCAUGCAGGGUUGGCCAGAGGCCUGAAUCUUUU